Lucilia cuprina (Australian sheep blowfly) is the source of this 323-nucleotide long non-coding RNA. RefSeq lists it as uncharacterized. The record is from RefSeq and is a predicted model, not a curated record. NCBI's taxonomy places the organism in Eukaryota, Metazoa, Arthropoda, Insecta, Diptera, Calliphoridae. The transcript is spliced from 2 exons.
GAGACUGGAUUAAUGACCGUCAUUGGUGUCAGAUAGCUAGCGAGCCAGCUCGUCUCUAGCCCGAGUAAAAGAAGAACGUGCAUUUUGUCUAGAGAUAUGUAUGAAUACAUACACAAAGUCACAAUUAUCAUGGAAAAAUUGACAACGCAAUGAGUGGGGAGAUGAUGAGAGGAAAAAUACUGGAUUAAAUGUUUGUAUGAAGACCCCAUACCUUGGUUUGAAGACUACGUGCAAAAGUUAACAUCGUCAAAUAAUAAAUAUGCAUUUUAUUUUUAUGAAUUUAAAUUUGUGCGGAUAUUAUUAAAUUUAAUGAAAUUAUAAAA